UCGGGUGUCCAGGCGCCGGAUCUGAGCGAACGUCUCAGCCGGUAGCUCAUGGGUGGAACAUUGACAUUGGUGCAGAGCCGAACGGCUCGAACUCAGUACAUCCCUUGCGGAUAGGAAAGGUUCGAACCUGGAAGUCCUGCACAUGCACGCUGUUGGGUCCUGAGGGACCGGACCUCAUCGGAACAGAUGAGAACCGAAUCCUCUGGACCUUUUCUUGUCGGUCAUAACUCGGCCGGCGGAAAAGGUACCGCCCGUACUUUGAGAACUACACAGUGGACGCGAGCAUCUUAGAUUCGAACCUUCGGGUUCGGAUCACAAAAGAUGAUCUGAUUUAUUAGAUCAUUGGUCAAUCUGCUCACUUAGGUGAGCCGAUCGAUUCAAACUCAUGUGAU
This 392-nucleotide unclassified non-coding RNA is filed under the name uncultured Leifsonia sp. Its description in RNAcentral is "partial 16S-23S ribosomal RNA intergenic spacer". The record is from RNAcentral. Lineage: Bacteria; Bacillati; Actinomycetota; Actinomycetes; Micrococcales; Microbacteriaceae.